Molecule: ribosomal RNA, 112 nt
Filed under: Hafnia alvei
Lineage: Bacteria; Pseudomonadati; Pseudomonadota; Gammaproteobacteria; Enterobacterales; Hafniaceae
Also listed under: 2 other names
Source: RNAcentral
UGGCGGCGAUAGCGCGGUGGUCCCACCUGACCCCAUGCCGAACUCAGAAGUGAAACGCCGUAGCGCCGAUGGUAGUGUGGGGUCUCCCCAUGCGAGAGUAGGGAACUGCCAG